This 1149-nucleotide ribosomal RNA is filed under the name uncultured Rozellomycota. RNAcentral describes it as "SSU rRNA". It matches the Rfam family "Eukaryotic small subunit ribosomal RNA", at positions 603 to 1799 of the family's 1831-position model. The record is from RNAcentral. Lineage: Eukaryota; Fungi; Rozellomycota.
GGCAUUGGUGCUGAGUUAAGCUCGUAGUUGACUUUAGGCAAGGCGACCUGGUCACCCACUGGGUGUACUGGGUUCGCCGCGCCUCACCUUCGGGGAACUAGUCGUGCUUCGGUGCGCUAGGGAACCGAGCCUUACUUUGAAGAAAUUAGAGUGUUUAAAGCAGGCUUACGCUUGAAUACGCCAGCAUGGAAUAACAAGAUAGGACUUUGGUUCUAUUUUGUUGGUUUGAGGACCAAAGUAAUGAUUAAUAGGGCCAGUCGGGGGCAUUAGUAUUCUAUAGUCAGAGGUGAAAUUCUUGGAUUUAUAGAAGACUAACUAAUGCGAAAGCAUUUGCCAAGGAUGUUUUCAUUAAUCAAGAACGAAAGUUAGGGGAUCGAAGACGAUUAGAUACCGUCGUAGUCUUAACCAUAAACUAUGCCGACUAGGGAUCGGUGGAUGUCGCUUUUGACUCCAUCGGCACCUUACGAGAAAUCAAAGUUUUUGGGUUCUGGGGGGAGUAUGGUCGCAAGGCUGAAACUUAAAGGAAUUGACGGAAGGGCACCACCAGGAGUGGAGCCUGCGGCUUAAUUUGGCUCAACACGGGAAAACUCACCAGGUCCGGACAUGGGAAGGAUUGACAGAUUGAGAGCUCUUUCUUGAUUCUAUGGGUGGUGGUGCAUGGCCGUUCUUAGUUGGUCGAGUGAUUUGUCUGGUUAAUUCCGAUAACGAACGAGACCUUAACCUGCUAAAUAGAACUGCGAACCUGCGUUCGUAGGCUCUUCUUAGAGGGACUGACUACGUUUAGUGGUCGGAAGUUUGAGGCAAUAACAGGUCUGUGAUGCCCUUAGAUGUUCUGGGCUGCACGCGCGCUACACUGACAGAGGCAGCGAGUAUACAACCUUGACCGGAAGGUCUGGGCAAUCUUAUGAAACUCUGUCGUGCUGGGGAUAGAGCAUUGCAAUUAUUGCUCUUCAACGAGGAAUUCCUAGUAAGCGCAUGUCAUCAGCAUGCGUUGAUUACGUCCCUGCCCUUUGUGCACACCGCCCGUCGCUACUACCGAUUGAAUGGCUUAGUGAGGCCUCCGGAUUGAGGUUGGUGGCCGAAAGGCUGCCUCGCUUUGAAAAGUUGGUCAAACUUGGUCAUUUAGAGGAAGUAAAAGUCGUAACAAGG